ACCUGUUUAGACAUUACACAAUGUGUAUGUGCCUGAGAAUAUCCCAGGAACACUGUAAAGAUGGUGUUUAGGAUACACCACAAACAGGCAGUGUUUGCGGCCUCGUCUGUCAGUCAAAACAGCAUGCUUAUAUUCAAGCUAACACACAAACAACAAGCUUCCCAACGUAUAAAAAAAUCAAGCAGUAAUGUACAAAAGAUUUCCGAAUUUGAAAAAAAAUUAAAACCCGCAAAACCAGGAAUCUCAACAAACACAGGCAGAAAAACUGUUGGGGGGGAUGCAGAAGACCAGGACAUUCCAGGAAUCUCGUAAUUAUGCCGUCAAAAACGGCCGAGGAGAAAACAGAAUCUGCAGAGCAUCCGGGGAAAGACACUGACUGGCAAGGCAGGUGAUGGAGCUUCUUGGCAGAGACCUGACGCAAAAGUUAACAUGGAAAAGAGAAAAAAACAUGAAGAGUUGAGCCUCUACAAGCAGAAACAUCCUUCAAAACAAAGAUGAAAUAAAGAUAUUUCAAGCCGGCAAAAGCUGAGGAAUUUGUUAUCCCCCCCCCCCGAUUUAAAUACUAUCAAAAGUUCUUCCAGGCUUCAGAUCAAGCAAAGAGGAGCUAGAGUAUGAUAACUCCAUAGGCAAACACAGUCACAGACGUCCAAAACUCACACUCAGAUGCGUAUAAAUGCACAGUUAAAAACGAUUUUAAAGGCAGCCAUUCUGUAACGAACUCCAGAUGGCCGUUCACAACUGUGUGAGUCUUUCUCUGCUGUAUUGCUGGGGAGAGAGUGAUUCAAAGCAUAGGAACGCACAGUUCAUGAAGACUUGGGCAUAAAAAGGGUAAAUGUCCUACUCGUCAGAAGGUCAUUAUAAAAUGACUGUUCUUUGGUUGGGGAUAGAGUUCCUCGGAGAACCAUGUGAGGUGUGAGCACAUCCGCAAGGAUUACCACAGAAAUCUCAACCGUGCAACCAGAACAGGGUUCAGACAGAAGGCUGUUGAGAGGUUAAGGUGGCUUAUGACUGGAGGAUACUCUACAAAAUGUCUGAACUCAAGAAGUUCUCUGUGAGGGCCAGCAAAAAUAGCUCAAGAAAUAAAGAUACUUGCUGUAC
This 1098-nucleotide long non-coding RNA is filed under the name Rattus norvegicus (Norway rat). Its description in RNAcentral is "long non-coding RNA NONRATT016976". The record is from RNAcentral. Lineage: Eukaryota; Metazoa; Chordata; Mammalia; Rodentia; Muridae.